UGCCAGCCGCCGCGGUAAUACGGAGAGUGCAAGCGUUACUCGGAAUCACUGGGCAUAAAGAGCACGUAGGCGGAAAUGUGUGUCGGUGCUGAAAGCCCUCGGCUCAGCCGAGGAACUGGCUCCGAAACUGCAUUUCUUGAGGACGAGAGGGGAGAGCGGAACUUCUGGUGGAGCGGUGAAAUGCGUAGAUAUCAGAAGGAACACCGAUGGCGAAAGCAGCUCUCUGGCUUGUUUCUGACGCUGAGGUGCGAAAGCGUGGGUAGCAAACGGGAUUAGAUA
This 279-nucleotide ribosomal RNA is filed under the name uncultured bacterium. RNAcentral's name for it is "partial 16S ribosomal RNA". It matches the Rfam family "Bacterial small subunit ribosomal RNA", at positions 506 to 784 of the family's 1533-position model. The record is from RNAcentral.